RNAcentral lists this small nuclear RNA (107 nucleotides) under Lynx canadensis (Canada lynx). The record is from RNAcentral. Lineage: Eukaryota; Metazoa; Chordata; Mammalia; Carnivora; Felidae.
GUGCUCACUUUGGCAGCACAUAUACUAAGAUUGGAACGAUACAGAGAAGAUUAGCAUGGCCCCUGCACAAGGAUGACACUCAAAUUCGUGAAGCAUUCCAUAUAAAA